UGAAUGUGACAAGACGUAACAAAGGGACCACUUAUACCGCAUACGUCCUACGUGAGAUAGCCGGCUACCUUCGAGCCUUGCGACUAUCACAUCAGCCUAGGUGGGAUUAGCUCGUUGGUGAGGUAAUGGCUCACCAAGGCAACGAUUCGUAACUGGUCUGAUAGGAUGAUCAGUCACACUGGAACUGAGACACGGUCCAGACUCCUACCGGAGGCAACACCGGGGAAUAUUGGACAAUGGGCAAAAGCCUGAUCCAGCCAUGCCGCGUGUGUGAAGAACGUCUUCGGAUUGUAAAGCACUUUAAGCUGGGAGGAAUGGUUGUAGAUAAAUACUCUACAAUUAUACCGUUUCCCGACGGAAUAAGCACCGGCAAACUCUGUGCCAGCAGCCGCGGUAAUACACAGCGUGCAAGCUUUAAUCGGAAUUACUGGGGCCCAAAACUCGCGUAGGUGGGUUUGUUAAGUUGGAUGUGAAAUCCCCCGGGCUCAACCUGGGAACUGCUUUCCAAACUGGCGAGCUUAAAAGAUGGGAAAAGGGGGGGGGAAAUUUCCUGGGGUGGCGGUUCAAAUGGGGAAAAUUUGGGAGGGGAACCCCCGUGGGCAAAAGCCAACCACCUGGAACGGAAACCGUACCCCUUAGGUGCCAAAGCCUGGGGGGCCAAAACGGGAUAAAAAACCCCCGGGAAGUCCACCCCCGGAAACAAUUUCCCCCUAAGCCCUUGGGAGCCCUUGGAGCUCUGAAGGGGGCCAA
Molecule: ribosomal RNA, 750 nt
Filed under: Pseudomonas turukhanskensis
Lineage: Bacteria; Pseudomonadati; Pseudomonadota; Gammaproteobacteria; Pseudomonadales; Pseudomonadaceae
Description: bacterial SSU rRNA
Rfam family: Bacterial small subunit ribosomal RNA
Source: RNAcentral